AUUGAACGCUGGCGGCAGGCCUAACACAUGCAAGUCGAACGAGUGGCGGACGGGUGAGUAAUGUCUGGGAAACUGCCUGAUGGAGGGGGAUAACUACUGGAAACGGUAGCUAAUACCGCAUACCAUCGGAUGUGCCCAGAUGGGAUUAGCUAGUAGGUGGGGUAAAGGCUCACCGAGGCGACGAUCCCUAGCUGGUCUGAGCGGAUGACCAGCCACACUGGGACUGAGACACGGUCCAGACUCCUACGAGAGGCAGCAGUGGGGAAUAUUGGACAAUGGGCGCAAGCCGGAUGCAGCCAGGCCGGGUGUAUGAAGAAGGCCUUCGGGUUGUAAAGUACUUGCAGCGGGGAGGCGUUACCCGCAGAAGAAGCACCGGCUGACUCCGUGCCAGCAGCCGCGGUAAUAC
RNAcentral lists this ribosomal RNA (406 nucleotides) under uncultured bacterium. RNAcentral describes it as "partial 16S ribosomal RNA". It matches the Rfam family "Bacterial small subunit ribosomal RNA", at positions 29 to 526 of the family's 1533-position model. The record is from RNAcentral.